This 2485-nucleotide long non-coding RNA is filed under the name Lactuca sativa (garden lettuce). Its description in RNAcentral is "long non-coding RNA (LSAT_LNC001974)". Lineage: Eukaryota; Viridiplantae; Streptophyta; Magnoliopsida; Asterales; Asteraceae. The record is from RNAcentral.
GUAUGUAUGUAUGCAUUCUUUUUUAAACAACGUAUAUGGUUUAAUGUAUGUCAAAUUAUGUGUUUCAUUAUUUUAUAACAUAUAAUAUUAGGAUAAUUUUUAUACAUAUAAUAUUGCAUAGUUUUAUAACAUAAGACUUAUACAUAUAAUAUUAAUUUCGUUUUUCGUUUUUUUUAUACCUUUUUCGGGGUUUUGUUUUUUUUAUUUCACAGAUUUCUUCAUCAACAAAUGUUGUUAAAAUUUAACAAAAAUUCAUAAUUUGCUAAACCAUAAUACAAAAGGAAUGUUUGUUCACAUUUAGUCAUUGAACUUUUAUUAGAGGGAAACAAAAAUUCAAUUUUGUUCACAUUUAGUCACUAAACUUUUUUUCAUUAUGUAUUUGUCACUGAACUAUUAAAACUGUUCACAUUUUACCCUAUUACCGGUCAUAAGGGUAAAAUGUGAACAAUUUCAAUAGUUCAGUGGCAAAUAGAUAAUGAAAAAAAAAUAGUAACUAAAUGUGAACAAAAUCGAAAGUUUGUUACCCUUUCAAGUCAUUAUCCCAUCGUCAACACCACUCCACUCCUAGAAACCAUGGACCAUGUCCCGAGUGGUUGUCUAGAAAAACCAUUCGGCAUCAAAGUUGGCUUAAUUCUCCCCACUAGUGUAUUCCUUUUCUAAAUAAUUAGUUAUUAGUUCAUCUUUAAGUGUUUACACAAAUGACAUCCAUAAGUAUUCUUGCAUAUAAUUAUCAUCUUUUUAUAGCAUAUUACUUCCCAAAUUACUUCUGAUGUAAACAUGUAAACAAGUGAAUACAAGUUGAACAUUUUACAUCACAUAUAAGUUCAUGCAUAUAUCAUCAUUAUGGCAUGACAACAUCACUGGUAUGCUUUGUCCUAAUCAUCAUAGACAAGUAUUUCCAAGAAAGCAAGGCAUGUAUCCAUCACAUAUAAUCAUCACAAAACACUCUUUCUAUCAUGGCCCUAACACACCACGCACAUCAGAAGAUUAAGAAUCUAGCAUUUAACAUCAUAAGUUCUCAUAAAAAUAAAGUAACAUAGCAACCCAAAUACAUAUCACACAUAAUAGGGGUACAUGCCACUUAAAUAGCCUAUGUUCAUUCAAAUCCAUCUAAGAUAUGAAAUUCCCUAACAAUGUACUUUCAAAUCCAUCAUAAGUUCUCAUACAAAUAAAGGAACAUAGCAACCCAAAUACAUAUCACAUGUAAUAGGGGCACAUGCAACCUAAAUAGCCUAGGUUCAUUCAAAUCCAUCUAAGAUAUGGAAUUCCCUAACAUAGUACUUUGAAAUCCAUAAGAUUAACUCACGUUUGCUAAAAACGUGUCAUCUCUACUCUUCAACUCUUGUAGAAAUUGAGAUAUCAAGCCUUCCCCUAGUGAUACACAAAUAAAUAUAUUACUAGAAGUUUUACAUAAGCAAAUAAUAGCAUUUUACUACCCAAACACGCAAAUUAGUCUUUUGGCCAAAUUUUCAGAUUUUGACCUGAAAUAGUAACCUAUUCAAAGACACUUUAGUGCCACUUAAACCUGUAAAAAGUUCAACUUUAUUCCAUAUUCAGGUAUUUCAUAUUUUCAGCUUUAAAAGUACUACCCGCACAGGUCCAAUCGAUUUUUCUAUAAUUUUCUAUGAAUUUUACAAAACCGCAUAUCUGUGCAGCUGAUUUUCGACCAUUCAGUGAAAAUGAAGAUUUUCACCUUGGUUAGCAACAAUAUCAGGACCUGGGAAAAAUCAUGGAAUAACUAGACUCAAGAUGAAAACUUUGAGAAUUUACGGAUCAUUAAUCCAACUCCUGAUGAUUUUUCUAGAUUUUUUUCAAAACAGGUGCAGAAUGGGAAUUUUUCUGAAUUUCCCAGCUUUGAAUAUCUAGGACUUUUUGACCACUUAACCCAAUAAGUCAUAACCAAAAGCACCCACAAAGAUAAAAAUUGAGUUCUUAACAGUAGCAACUUGUCAAGAAACAUUAAUAGCAAUUCCAUCCUCAUACCAAGGUUCAAAUUAGUAAUUAAUAAGGACUCCAAAACAUGGAGUAAUACAUGAACAUGAACUAAAAAUUAUUGAGGGUGUUCAUAACCAAGUUUUGACAGCAAUUAGUCAUCAUAAACACCCAAUAGAAGUGAAAUUAUAUCAUUUGAACUUUAAAAGGUUUCUAGGAAUAAGAAGGUGAGAUAUGAACAUCAAUUUGGAAGAGAAUUGACAACAACAAUCUUCAAUUGACAAAGAGCUUGAUAUAUAACCACAACCAAAGAGAUUAGAAGAGAAUUUUACCAAUAUUGGCCAAAAAUCGCAGCCUAAGAUCACCACACAAAUCGAAUAUAGAAAUAUUUUCUUCCUCCCCCUUCACUUCUCGGUCACGUUUUCUUCCCACCCUCCAAGGCCGAUCGACUUUUUUUCCAUUCUCACUGAUGUCGUCACACACACGCAAGGAAUAAAAGAUCCCAAGCACCGAUCGAUUACACCAAGGGAUAAAUGGGAUUGUGGAAAAAAAA